UACGUAGGGUGCAAGCGUUAAUCGGAAUUACUGGGCGUAAAGCGUGCGCAGGCGGUUAUGUAAGACAGGGGUGAAAUCCCCGGGCUUAACCUGGGAACUGCAUUUGUGACUGCAUAGCUAGAGUACGGUAGAGGGGGAUGGAAUUCCGCGUGUAGCAGUGAAAUGCGUAGAUAUGCGGAGGAACACCGAUGGCGAAGGCAAUCCCCUGGACCUGUACUGACGCUCAUGCACGAAAGCGUGGGGAGCAAUCAGG
RNAcentral lists this ribosomal RNA (253 nucleotides) under uncultured bacterium. Its description in RNAcentral is "partial 16S ribosomal RNA". It matches the Rfam family "Bacterial small subunit ribosomal RNA", at positions 524 to 776 of the family's 1533-position model. The record is from RNAcentral.